RNAcentral lists this long non-coding RNA (870 nucleotides) under Helianthus annuus (common sunflower). RNAcentral's name for it is "hypothetical non coding rna". Lineage: Eukaryota; Viridiplantae; Streptophyta; Magnoliopsida; Asterales; Asteraceae. The record is from RNAcentral.
UUUCUUCUAUCAUUCUCUCUAUACGUUGUUGUUCUAACCAAUAAUCACCGAUGCAAUAUUCUGUUCGAUCGAUUCGGGAACCAACUAACGAAUGCCAAAGUGCUGUACUUUGUGAAUUUCGUUAAACGAAUGCCAAAGUGCUAUCUAAACAAGACUUUACUUUGUGAAUUUCGUUAAGGUUCUAAUCUCGUGACCAUCGAUAGGUUUGAUUUGGUAUAACACUAAUACGUAUUCCACUCUGUUAAACUAAAUAUUUAACUACCCGAAAACUCUGCACUAUACACUUACAAUCAAAGUAGAUGCUCAAUCAUCAGAAGAUUCAGAACUAUAAAGUAGAUACUUAGAAUCAAGAUGCUUGUUUAAUCAAGACUAUAUGCUAACAAGGUGGGUCAUUCUCUUUUAAUCAACAAUGUUUUACAAUACUCAAAUUAUUUUCAAAAAGUUAUAAUUACAGGGAUUAAGUCUUAGUUAUCUUGAAUCACUGGCAAGUGGGGUAUUGUGCACAUUACUAAUUUCUCACGGUUAGGUUCACCAACCUAACAGUGAUAAUCAUCACUACUUGGGUGAAAGGACCCAAUAGUGGUAUGACCAUCGUCACCAGGGUGUGACACGGCGCCAGAUAAAAAUAAGAUAGUAGCCAUUGUAAUCGCUCUUAUGCUGUAAUUUAUAACAAUGUGUCGUUUUGUAAUGACAGUAGAUUGGAAUAAGAGUGAUGAUACGGCACCGAAAGGCUUAAAGAAGUGGCUUAUUUUAUCAAUUGAAGUAAAUUAAGAAAACAUGGUUUCAUAUAUUCGGGUUUAUCCCUUAUUAAAGCUACCUUUGUAAAACAUGGGUUUUAUCCCAUCUAUUUAAUAAAUAAAAUCCGGUGUU